ACGGGUGAGUAACGCGUGGGAACGUGCCUUCUGGUUCGGAAUAACUCAGGGAAACUUGAGCUAAUACCGGAUACGCCCUUUUGGGGAAAGGUUUACUGCCGGAAGAUCGGCCCGCGUCUGAUUAGCUAGUUGGUGGGGUAACGGCCUACCAAGGCGACGAUCAGUAGCUGGUCUGAGAGGAUGAUCAGCCACACUGGGACUGAGACACGGCCCAGACUCCUACGGGAGGCAGCAGUGGGGAAUAUUGGACAAUGGGCGCAAGCCUGAUCCAGCCAUGCCGCGUGAGUGAUGAAGGCCUUAGGGUUGUAAAGCUCUUUUAUCCGGGACGAUAAUGACGGUACCGGAGGAAUAAGCCCCGGCUAACUUCGUGCCAGCAGCCGCGGUAAUACGAAGGGGGCUAGCGUUGCUCGGAAUCACUGGGCGUAAAGGGCGCGUAGGCGGUCUUUUAAGUCGGGGGUGAAAGCCUGUGGCUCAACCACAGAAUUGCCUUCGAUACUGGGAGACUUGAGUUCGGAAGAGGUUGGUGGAACUGCGAGU
Molecule: ribosomal RNA, 537 nt
Filed under: uncultured bacterium
Lineage: Bacteria
Description: bacterial SSU rRNA
Rfam family: Bacterial small subunit ribosomal RNA
Source: RNAcentral